GUGCCAGCCGCCGCGGUAAUACGGAGGAGGCAAGCGUUAUCCGGAAUGAUUGGGCGUAAAGCGUCCGUAGGUGGCUGUUCAAGUCUGCUGUCAAAGACAGUGGCUUAACUACUGAAAGGCAGUGGAAACUGAACAGCUAGAGUGCGGUAGGGGCAGAGGGAAUUCCCGGUGUAGCGGUGAAAUGCGUAGAUAUCGGGAAGAACACCGGUGGCGAAAGCGCUCUGCUGGGCCGCAACUGACACUGAGGGACGAAAGCUAGGGGAGCGAAUGGGAUUAGAUACCCCUGUAGUCCG
This 293-nucleotide ribosomal RNA is filed under the name uncultured prokaryote. RNAcentral describes it as "partial 16S ribosomal RNA". It matches the Rfam family "Bacterial small subunit ribosomal RNA", at positions 505 to 797 of the family's 1533-position model. The record is from RNAcentral.